GAUGAACGCUAGCUACAGGCUUAACACAUGCAAGUCGAGGGGAAACGCCAUCGAAAGCUUGCUUUUGAUGGGCGUCGACCGGCGCACGGGUGAGUAACGCGUAUCCAACCUGCCCAUCACUUGGGAAUAACCUUGCGAAAGUAAGACUAAUACCCAAUGACAUCCCACGAAGACAUCUGAAUGGGAUUAAAGAUUUAUCGGUGAUGGAUGGGGAUGCGUCUGAUUAGCUUGUUGGCGGGGUAACGGCCCACCAAGGCAACGAUCAGUAGGGGUUCUGAGAGGAAGGUCCCCCACAUUGGAACUGAGACACGGUCCAAACUCCUACGGGAGGCAGCAGUGAGGAAUAUUGGUCAAUGGGAGAGAGCCUGAACCAGCCAAGUAGCGUGCAGGAUGACGGCCCUAUGGGUUGUAAACUGCUUUUAUAAGGGAAUAAAGUGGGUCUCGUGAGACUUUUUGCAUGUACCUUAUGAAUAAGGACCGGCUAAUUCCGUG
RNAcentral lists this ribosomal RNA (492 nucleotides) under uncultured bacterium. Its description in RNAcentral is "partial 16S ribosomal RNA". It matches the Rfam family "Bacterial small subunit ribosomal RNA", at positions 28 to 507 of the family's 1533-position model. The record is from RNAcentral.